UACGUAGGGUGCAAGCGUUAUCCGGAAUUAUUGGGCGUAAAGAGCUCGUAGGCGGUUUGUCGCGUCUGCUGUGAAAACCCGAGGCUCAACCUCGGGCCUGCAGUGGGUACGGGCAGACUAGAGUGCGGUAGGGGAGAAUGGAACUCCUGGUGUAGCGGUGGAAUGCGCAGAUAUCAGGAAGAACACCGAUGGCGAAGGCAGUUCUCUGGGCCGUAACUGACGCUGGAGGAGCGAAAGCGUGGGGAGCGAACAGG
Molecule: ribosomal RNA, 254 nt
Filed under: uncultured bacterium
Lineage: Bacteria
Description: partial 16S ribosomal RNA
Rfam family: Bacterial small subunit ribosomal RNA
Source: RNAcentral